This 465-nucleotide ribosomal RNA is filed under the name Vreelandella stevensii. RNAcentral's name for it is "partial 16S ribosomal RNA". It matches the Rfam family "Bacterial small subunit ribosomal RNA", at positions 338 to 795 of the family's 1533-position model. Lineage: Bacteria; Pseudomonadati; Pseudomonadota; Gammaproteobacteria; Oceanospirillales; Halomonadaceae. The record is from RNAcentral.
CCUACGGGGGGCAGCAGUGGGGAAUAUUGGACAAUGGGGGCAACCCUGAUCCAGCCAUGCCGCGUGUGUGAAGAAGGCCCUCGGGUUGUAAAGCACUUUCAGUGAGGAAGAACGCCUGGUGGUUAAUACCCAUCAGGAAAGACAUCACUCACAGAAGAAGCACCGGCUAACUCCGUGCCAGCAGCCGCGGUAAUACGGAGGGUGCGAGCGUUAAUCGGAAUUACUGGGCGUAAAGCGCGCGUAGGUGGCUUGAUAAGCCGGUUGUGAAAGCCCCGGGCUCAACCUGGGAACGGCAUCCGGAGCUGUCAAGCUAGCGGGCAGGAGAGGAAGGUAGAAUUCCCGGUGUAGCGGUGAAAUGAGUAGAGAUCGGGAGGAAUACCAGUGGCGAAGGCGGCCUUCUGGACUGACACUGACACUGCGGUGCGAAAGCGUGGGUAGCAAACAGGAUUAGCUACCCCGGUAGUC